Long non-coding RNA from Thamnophis elegans (Western terrestrial garter snake), 349 nucleotides. RefSeq lists it as uncharacterized. NCBI's taxonomy places the organism in Eukaryota, Metazoa, Chordata, Lepidosauria, Squamata, Natricidae. The transcript has 3 exons. The record is from RefSeq and is a predicted model, not a curated record.
CCCUGCGUAGCCCUGCGAAGAGUGAACUAAUUGGGGCUAAGGGAAAGCCUUGGAAAGCCCCUUAUUCCUGUUUGAACUGCAAAAGAAAAAUUGAGAAAUCUAAAAUUAUACAGCAUAUGAAUAAAAUGAAAAGACCAUCAGAUCCAGUAUAUGGGAGUUUAAGGUGUUGGACUGGGGUGACCCAGGUUCAAGUCCAAGUCCACACUUAACCUGGAAACUCACUUUGGAUCUAUCACUCACUCUUAGAAGGAUGUGGAUAGAAUUAAGGUCAAGAUUAAUACUGGACAGGUGGAAUUGAAUCACAAAGGAGAUUCUCACAGUUUGUGAGGGUUUUGCAUCUCACUCCUUA